This 606-nucleotide ribosomal RNA is filed under the name uncultured bacterium. RNAcentral's name for it is "bacterial SSU rRNA". It matches the Rfam family "Bacterial small subunit ribosomal RNA", at positions 338 to 1415 of the family's 1533-position model. The record is from RNAcentral.
CCUACGGGAGGCAGCAGUAGGGAAUUUUCCGCAAUGGGCGAAAGCCUGACGGAGCAAUACCGCGUGAGGGAUGACGGCCUGUGGGUUGUAAACCUCUUUUCUCAAGGAAGAAGUUCUGACGGUACUUGAGGAAUAAGCAUCGGCUAACUCUGUGCCAGCAGCCGCGGUAAUACAGAGGAUGCAAGCGUUAUCCGGAAUCACUGGGCAUAAAGCGUCUGUAGGUUGUUUAGUAAGUCUGCUGUUAAAGACUGGGGCUUAACCCCAGAAAAGCAGUGGAAACUGCUAGACUCGAGUGUGGUAGAGGUAGAGGGAAUUCCUAGUGUAGCGGUGAAAUGCGUAGAUAUUAGGAAGAACACCAAUGGCGAAGGCACUCUACUGGGCCAUAACUGACACUGAGAGACGACAGCUAGGGGAGCAAACGGGAUUAGAUACCCCGGUAGUCCUAGCCGUAAACGAUGGAUACUAGAUGUUGCACGUAUUAACCCGUGCAGUAUCGUAGCUAAGGCGUUAAGUAUCCCGCCUGGGAAGUACGCUCGCAAAGAGUGAAACUCAAAUAGAAGUAGACGGCGUGAGACGUGCCGAACGGACGACGACGAGGGAGGUAGG